Non-coding RNA from Pelobates cultripes (western spadefoot toad), 206 nucleotides. NCBI's taxonomy places the organism in Eukaryota, Metazoa, Chordata, Amphibia, Anura, Pelobatidae. The record is from the annotation of a GenBank genome assembly.
GUACCUCAAAAGGAUAGCACCAUUUUGUUGUUUACUUAUGAACAACCUUUACCAUACUUCAUUGUUAUUUACCAAAUUAUUUAUAUACAUUAACAUUGCAGGAACAGUUAAUAUCUGUGAAAGUAUACAUCUUUUUAAACAGAAUGUUAGUAAAGUAUUACCUUUGGAGUAAGGGGACCAUGGUCAUCUGCAAAUGUGGAAUUUCC